RNAcentral lists this unclassified non-coding RNA (617 nucleotides) under Nigrograna mackinnonii. RNAcentral's name for it is "sequence contains ITS1". The stretch from base 17 to 361 matches the Rfam family "Group I catalytic intron". From Rfam's summary of the family: Group I catalytic introns are large self-splicing ribozymes. They catalyse their own excision from mRNA, tRNA and rRNA precursors in a wide range of organisms. The core secondary structure consists of 9 paired regions (P1-P9). The record is from RNAcentral. Lineage: Eukaryota; Fungi; Ascomycota; Dothideomycetes; Pleosporales; Nigrogranaceae.
CUCGCGCCACGGAAGCCUUUGCAGCUGGAAACAGUUGGUCUGGACGACUCUAAAGAAAUCAGCCUUUAUGCAAGUCAGCGUCUCUGCUGGCGACACUUUCGAACUGACGGGGACACCCUAAAGCUCUCCACACCAAGCCAGCCAGGGAAACCUACUGGUGGCCCAUGGGAAACUAUGGGGUAUGGUAACAGAGGGAGAGAUGAUCUGAGGCACACGCCUUAGUGAGGUGGGCAAUCCGCAGCGAAGCUCCUAACGUCCUCGGGCCUGGCCCGAACCAUGGAGAACGUUCACAGACUAAGUGGAAGUGGGUGGAGAGUAAUCUCCGCUUAAGAUAUAGUCGGGCCCCUUGGGAAACCUUGGGGGUAGCGAGUCUCGAGUCUCUCGAGCUUGGAACAAACCGUUCCGUAGGUGAACCUGCGGAAGGAUCAUUACCGUUGGAGUUCGCUCCAAUCUGGGAUAGAACCCUUGCCUUUGAGUACCUUUUCGUUUCCUCGGUGGGCUCGCCCGCCGGUGGACAACCAUAAACUCUUUGUAAUAGCAGUAUCUUCUGAGAAAAACAAAUAGUCAAAACUUUCAACAACGGAUCUCUUGGUUCUGGCAUCGAUGAAGAACGCAGC